This 29-nucleotide non-coding RNA is filed under the name Rattus norvegicus (Norway rat). The record is from RNAcentral. Lineage: Eukaryota; Metazoa; Chordata; Mammalia; Rodentia; Muridae.
UUCAAAACGGUCACAAGUGGAUGAAGCAU